Molecule: long non-coding RNA, 1133 nt
Organism: Toxorhynchites rutilus septentrionalis
Lineage: Eukaryota; Metazoa; Arthropoda; Insecta; Diptera; Culicidae
Exons: 2
Source: RefSeq, a predicted model, not a curated record
UCCUAAAGGGCGGUGAAUAUCGAAUAUCGAACUUUCAUCGCAGCAGUCAGACAACUGUGAAACCAAAACAAAAACAAAAACGGCAAAUGGUUAUGGAAGUUAUAGUUUCUGCAGAAAAUAAUUGUUUGCGCAUUGGAAUAUGUUGGAAUAAAAGAUUAUGUACCAAUCGACCGAAUAUAACAUCCGAUGGGACGCCUUGUGAUAACAACUCGUAUAGCUGUUCUCUCACAGCUUCCAGCUUCUAUGGACUUUGCUCGAGGUCAAUCUGAUUGGCGGUUUCUCUGAGGAAUAGUUGCCAAUCGAUUUCCGGCACCUGUUGGUUCACCGUGAACGGAUGCUGUUGUACCUUGCAAGCUUCCAGCAUGAGGAUAGUGCGUCGCGAAUCGCUCUCGGACAUGGCGGUACUUAUUUUCGCUAGCUCCGAAGAAAUGUGUAAACUUUCUUUUUUCCCGAUUAGUUGAAAUGAAAAUAGUCAGACAACUGUGAAACCAAAACAAAAAAGAACGGCAAAUGGUUAUUGAAGUUAUAGUUUCUGCAGAAAAUUGCCAUGUAAAAUGAUAUAUAUUCUGAUUAAUAAUUUUUCUCAUCGAAUUUUAGUGCUGUAAGCGGUCGCAGGAGGUUAGUCAUCAGAUUCUAAACACCACACAGCAACGACGCGGAUGUGAUGGUUUACCAUUUGGAGAAACGUCGUUUUGUAAACGUAUUUACCGAUGAAGGUUUCGUUAAUGGAUCAUUUUUUUGUUGAAUGUCCGAAUAAUCGCUUCCUGACUACAAAAAACCGACAGGGUGUGGUUCACAUCCACAGGGUGUACAAGGUUUUGAAGGAAAAAUAUUCCUUAUUCGAGGAAACCAUUUAGAAUCUCAUGACAUUAAGCGAAUGAAUUGCCUACAUACGAGUUGUUGGCCACAGCAUCUCAGACGUGCCAAAUGCGGUCAGGUUGACAAGCCUGAAGAGUGGCAAUUUACCGGAAUUUCCCGAUGAUGAAGACAAAUCUUGAAAACAUUACGCUGCCAGCGAUUCUUUAAUGGUUCGAAAUCAAAAUGACGAGGUUCCUUUAUUUAAAGUUAAAUAUUACCAGAACGUGUAGCUGUUAACGUGUAGCGUAGUGAAUAAACAUGAGAUGAACACAAAA